GAUGAAGAACGUAGCGAAAUGCGAUACGUAAUGUGAAUUGCAAAUUCAGUGAAUCAUCGAGUCUUUGAACGCACAUUGCGCCCCCUGGUAUUCCGGGGGGCAUGCCUGUCCGAGCGUCAUUGCUGCCCUCAAGCACGGCUUGUGUGUUGGGCCCCGUCCUCCGAUCCCGGGGGACGGGCCCGAAAGGCAGCGGCGGCACCACGUCCGGUCCUCGAGCGUAUGGGGCUUUGUCACCCGCUCUGUAGGCCCGGCCGGCGCUUGCCGAUCAACCCAAAUUUUUAUCCAGGUUGACCUCGGAUCAGGUAGGGAUACCCGCUGAACUUAAGCAUAUCAAUAAGCGGAGGA
This 345-nucleotide unclassified non-coding RNA is filed under the name soil metagenome. Its description in RNAcentral is "partial contains 5.8S ribosomal RNA, internal transcribed spacer 2, and large subunit ribosomal RNA". The stretch from base 1 to 119 matches the Rfam family "5.8S ribosomal RNA", at positions 35 to 154 of the family's 154-position model. The record is from RNAcentral.